AGUGAGCGCUGGCGGGGGGCCUAACACAUGCAAGUCGUACGGGGGCACCGUUUGGGUUUUCGCUUACGGGUGGCUAGACCCUGACGAUCUAGGUACACACCGAGUUCUGCUUUUUCGUGAUUCAUCUCGUUGGGCACCUUACACUAAUAUCUCAUACGACCUGCGGUGGAACUCAGGGUAUCUUCCCACCUUUAGCUAUUGUAUGAGCCUAUGUCUGAUUAGCUAGAUGGCGGGGUAAAGGCCCACCUUGGCGACGACCCGUAGCUGGUCUGAGAGGAUGAUCAGCCACACUGGAACUGAGACACGGUCCAGACUCCUACGGGAGGCAGCAGUGGGGAAUAUUGGACAAUGGGCGCAAGCCUGAUCCAGCCAUACCGCGUGAGGGAAGAAGGCCUUCGGGUUGUAAAGCGCUUUUGUGCGGAAAGAAAAGCAGCCGGUUAAUACCUCACUGUUCUGACGGUACCCAAAGAAUAAGCACCGGCUAACUUCGUG
Molecule: ribosomal RNA, 492 nt
Filed under: uncultured bacterium
Lineage: Bacteria
Description: partial 16S ribosomal RNA
Rfam family: Bacterial small subunit ribosomal RNA
Source: RNAcentral